GAUGAACGCUGGCGGCGUGCCUAAUACAUGCAAGUCGAGCGAACAGACGAGGAGCUUGCUCCUCUGACGUUAGCGGCGGACGGGUGAGUAACACGUGGAUAACCUACCUAUAAGACUGGGAUAACUUCGGGAAACCGGAGCUAAUACCGGAUAAUAUAUUGAACCGCAUGGUUCAAUAGUGAAAGACGGUUUUGAUGUCACUUAUAGAUGGAUCCGCGCCGCAUUAGCUAGUUGGUAAGGUAACGGCUUACCAAGGCGACGAUGCGUAGCCGACCUGAGAGGGUGAUCGGCCACACUAGAACUGAGACACGGUCCAGACUCCUACGGGAGGCAGCAGUAGGGAAUCUUCCGCAAUGGGCGAAAGCCUGACGGAGCAACGCCGCGUGAGUGAUGAAGGUCUUCGGAUCGUAAAACUCUGUUAUUAGGGAAGAACAAAUGUGUAAGUAACUAUGCACGUCUUGACGGUACCUAAUCAGAAAGCCACGGCUAACUACGUG
RNAcentral lists this ribosomal RNA (497 nucleotides) under uncultured bacterium. RNAcentral describes it as "partial 16S ribosomal RNA". It matches the Rfam family "Bacterial small subunit ribosomal RNA", at positions 28 to 507 of the family's 1533-position model. The record is from RNAcentral.